UCUUCCUGCCUUGACGUCACGUCACUGCGAACAUGAGAACGUACCGCGAAAGUGAUUCCCGGAGACCUUUUGUUUUUUCGGCCGCCGGGCGAAAGAUCAAAGGUAAUCAUCCUCCCGGCUGUUUCGGUAAUUAGCUUCGCCGUGGAGAGGCAGGCUGCUCGUGUUGAUCGAGUAUUAAAACCAGGAGCCGGGGGGGUUUCCGUCAGCCUCGUGGAAGGCUUGUCAGAAUCGGCUGAGAGAACAGCUGGCUGUGGGGGUGUGACAGCAUGUCAGAGGGCUGCUACUUACCCCGCCUUAAGGAAGCUGCUUCCAACAGCGGGGGGCUACGGAGGCUGGAAUCUGCCACGAAGCUGAUUCGCAGGGACGUUUCCACGGCAUCGGCGUUUGAAAACAUCUGAAAAUAAAACCAAAAAAAUACUUCUCAUCACAGGGUUAAGGCUCAUUAGGGCCCAAGUGUUUUAACGCCAUCCUAAAGUUAUUUCCGAAGAGAGAAAAUUAAAUUCCCCGCUAGGUUUCAUGGCAUUCCCCUGAAAAUGAACGAGAGCUUUUAUUAGAGAGGACACUUCAUUGUUAGCAAUUUCAUAACCAAGCCGCAUAAUGUCUACAGUCCCAUUUAGCCGUUCCCUCGCCUUGUUUAUGCACUGCCUCCCUCCGUUCCAGAGGACGCCUCAAACCUGAAGACCUUGCGCGCUAAAGGUUAACAGAAAGUGACUUAUUAAAGGUCCGCUGUUAAUUAAGCCCCACGCUGGCCGGCCGGUCCUGCUCUCCUCGUCUCCGGUGCAUGUGGAUCAGGCAGGAGUCUCCGUGUAUCCCGGACUCGGCCGUAAAGCGAAAGGCCUUCCAAACACUGCCCUAAUAAGGGCUCCGUCUUUACUAUGCAGACACCGUGAGCUCACAACAUGGCCUCGGCCCCCAUAUUUCAACAUCUUAAAACGAGCGACUCCAGUGGAUGGGGUUAACUGUCAGCACGGAGCCCUUAAACUGAAUUCCAUGUGCGUGCCGGUGACUGCCAAAUUAGGUCGCAAUAUAAAGUUGACGGUCACUGUAUAAAUCAGCCAUUUGGCAGGGAGGACUCUUAGAUAGACCACUGUGAUAAAACUCCUCAACAAAUAUAUAUUUUAAAAAAUAUACAGCUAAAUUAAAAAAAAAAAAAAGCCAUUUUGAAUGGGAAUGGAAUCAAAUCCAAAGCUGGUUGUAGAGUCCAUCGCAGACCCAAGACGGUACCAGUCCCAGAAGAAAUUAAAUUCAAACCCAUUAUUGUUGCCUGAAAGUCUGUAACUGUCCCGAAACGAUGACAUCAUCUUUCCAGCAGUGGCCCAUAAUCCUCCUCUAUUAUUUUCAGCUGUUCCAUGCUGCCCUCAGAUCAGUUUUAGCUGACCCAUUUCGCCGUUUCCUUUUGUUUUUGUCAAUCGCUCUCUCUCACACAAACUUUUUUGGCCUUUGGUAUCAGAAGCCUUGGGCUAUACGUCCUAUUUCAACAAGGUGUUUCUCUUGAAAUUGGUAAAACAAGGUUUAUAAAUUUAUAAAGCGCAAAUCAUUUCUGAGUGAAAUUUAAAUUAUGCAUUGUUAUCCAUCUCGCUAAUCUUCAUAUAACCUAUUCGGCCCGGGUCCUGCAAUCAAACAAUGAUUCGCACAUUUAAUAACUGGCACGGUGCAAAAUUCCCGCGUAAUAACCACGGCCUCACCUUUUUAAAAUAUUCAUUUAUUUUAGUCAGACGCCAUAAAUGGCGAGAUAAAAACCGAGGCGGGUGUGAGGAAGCAAAAAAAAAAAAAAAACAAUAGAAUAGAAUAAAAUAAAAUAAAAUAAAAUAAAAAUGCACUGUAGGAUUCUGAUAAAUUUAAGCCUUUCUAAACCAAAACAUCUGUAGUCCUAUGGGCUGUCAAGCCAGAUCUUCAAGCUGAGGAAGAUGGUUUACACUCCCAAUGCAGAGCGAGGGGUCUGGCCCAUUUAAUGCCAGGCCUGAGUGUUCCUCCUUUUGUGGUGGUUUAAUCAAGUUCCCCUGCUUGUCAGCGUUUGCACGCUAAUCCAGCAACGCACGACGAAUGCGGCGCGGACCUGUAACCUGCCUUUGUGUGUCGGGCUCACAUGAGAAUGCACCCAAACGCCACUGGACAGCCCCCGAAGAUUAAGACUGAACAGAGUGGCAGCCAUCGCCGCCAAGGCUAAUGCCCUUCAGCAUUGUCUUGUGCCCGAGCCGCAGAUACGACGGUUGAAGCUCCUCUCUUCUCUGUCCCUGACAAAUGAUCGUAUUUUAAGGUAAAAAAUGUCCUUAUUCGUUACCGGGCUGACGAAUCCUCGGAGCUACGCCAUUCUGAACCACAUUAUGGCGCUUAGUGUUCAUUUCACAAUGUGUAUUUUUCUUUUCUUUACCAUCACAGAGCAUCUCCUGGGCUCCGUUGACAUUGUAAAUAUGUUCGGCGCUGUCCGAACUAAUUUCUGCUACAUAUCCAGUCUGGCAGCGGCUUUUAUGCUACAGGGGACCCCUUCUCCAGUCUGGGCUCGACCUGAAGAGCGGAACGGCCUGUUUAUGCCUGUUUAUGCAUGACCCGGGCUUGUUUGUUCAUCUGUCGCUUUUGCAUAUCCGUGCCGAACAUGAAAGACCAUCGUCCUCGUGACGAUUCUCGGAUCCACGCGGCCCAGAACCUGACGGAUACAGGGCAUCGUUCUCUUCUUUUGCGGCCGACACAAAUGGCCUGAGUUUUUUUCCAAAUGGCUACCUAAUGAAGAAGUGACUCGCAAAAAGGAAAGAUGAUUCAGUCCCUGCUGUUUAGUGGGAUUUUUAUACGUUAUUUUAUAUUACAUUAAAUGCUUUUCAACAUAUUUCAAUUGUGUUAUAAUAAUAUAUUCAAAACUGCAUUAUUUAAUUUAAUUUUUACUCUGUAGGUAAUUCACAAUCCUGAAACAAAUUCAAGAUAACACAGGCUGGAAGAUAUUUUUAUAUAAAUUGCACAUUCCCCCUUCUGUAUUGUCUAAGGAAAUUGAAUAACAGCACAUCGGACACCAUAAUUGGCAAGUCACAUAAAGCCAUUUCAUUCUGGUGAAAUAUUUCUAUUAUAUUAUUUUCGGUUACAUUUCUGUGUGUUGGCCUCAACAAGGUAUCAGAGAAAUCCGCAAAAAUAAAUCUAAAGUCAAUAAUUUUAA
Non-coding RNA from Paramormyrops kingsleyae, 3142 nucleotides. The record is from RefSeq and is a predicted model, not a curated record. NCBI's taxonomy places the organism in Eukaryota, Metazoa, Chordata, Actinopteri, Osteoglossiformes, Mormyridae.